This 253-nucleotide ribosomal RNA is filed under the name uncultured bacterium. Its description in RNAcentral is "partial 16S ribosomal RNA". It matches the Rfam family "Bacterial small subunit ribosomal RNA", at positions 524 to 776 of the family's 1533-position model. The record is from RNAcentral.
UACGAGGGGUGCAAGCGUUAUUCGGAAUUAUUGGGCGUAAAGGGUGCGUAGGCGGCGCGUUAAGUCAACUGUUAAAUCUCCUGGCCUAACUGGGAGCUUGCAGUAGAAACUGGCGUGCUAGAGUUUGGAAGAGAGAAGUGGAAUUCUCGGAGUAGCGGUAAAAUGCGUAGAUCUCGAGAGGAACACCGAUGGCGAAGGCAGCUUCUUGGUCCAUAACUGACGCUGAGGCACGAAAGCGUGGGGAGCAAACAGG